UACGUAGGGCGCGAGCGUUGUCCGGAAUUAUUGGGCGUAAAGAGCUCGUAGGCGGCCUGUUGCGUCCGCUGUGAAAUCCCGGGCUCACCAUCGGUGCGUGCAGCCGAUACGGGCAGACUAGAGUUCGGCAGGGGAGACUGGAAUUCCUGGUGUAGCGGUGAAAUGCGCAGAUAUCAGGAGGAACACCGGUGGCGAAGGCGGGUCUCUGGGCCGAUACUGACGCUGAGGAGCGAAAGCGUGGGGAGCGAACAGG
RNAcentral lists this ribosomal RNA (253 nucleotides) under uncultured bacterium. RNAcentral describes it as "partial 16S ribosomal RNA". It matches the Rfam family "Bacterial small subunit ribosomal RNA", at positions 524 to 776 of the family's 1533-position model. The record is from RNAcentral.